This 465-nucleotide ribosomal RNA is filed under the name uncultured bacterium. RNAcentral's name for it is "partial 16S ribosomal RNA". It matches the Rfam family "Bacterial small subunit ribosomal RNA", at positions 28 to 507 of the family's 1533-position model. The record is from RNAcentral.
GACGAACGCUGGCGGCGUGCUUAACACAUGCAAGUCGAACGGAAAGGCCCUGCUUGCCGGGUACUCGAGUGGCGAACGGGUGAGUAACACGUGGGUGAUCUGCCCUGCACUUCGGGAUAAGCCUGGGAAACUGGGUCUAAUACCGGAUAGGAGCCAUUUUUAGUGUGAUGGUUGGAAAGUUUUUUCGGUGUAGGAUGAGCUCGCGGCCUAUCAGCUUGUUGGUGGGGUAAUGGCCUACCAAGGCGGCGACGGGUAGCCGGCCUGAGAGGGUGGACGGCCACAUUGGGACUGAGAUACGGCCCAGACUCCUACGGGAGGCAUCAGUGGGGAAUAUUGCACAAUGGGCGCAAGCCUGAUGCAGCGACGCCGCGGGGGGGAUGACGGCCUUCGGGUUGUAAACUCCUUUCGCUAGGGACGAAGCUUUUUGUGACGGUACCUAGAUAAGAAGCACCGGCUAACUACGUG